RNAcentral lists this ribosomal RNA (876 nucleotides) under uncultured methanogenic archaeon. RNAcentral's name for it is "bacterial SSU rRNA". It matches the Rfam family "Archaeal small subunit ribosomal RNA", at positions 1 to 878 of the family's 1478-position model. The record is from RNAcentral. Lineage: Archaea; Methanobacteriati; Methanobacteriota.
GCCCUUUUCCGGUUGAUCCUGCCGGAGCCACUGCUAUCGGGGUUCGAUUAAGCCAUGCGAGUCGAGAGGUGCAAGACCUCGGCAUACUGCUCAGUAACACGUGGACAACCUACCCUGAGGAGGGGGAUAACCCCGGAAAACUGGGGAUAAUACCCCAUAGGCCAGGGAUGCUGGAAUGCCUCCCGGUUGAAAGGUCCGCCGCCUCAGGAUGGGUCUGCGGCCGAUUAGGUUGUUGUUGGGGUAACGGCCCAACAAGCCAUUGAUCGGUACGGGUUGUGGGAGCAAGAGCCCGAAGAUGGAUUCUGAGACACGAAUCCAGGCCCUACGGGGCGCAGCAGGCGCGAAAACUUUACAAUGCGAGAAAUCGUGAUAAGGGAACCCCGAGUGCCCGUAAAUUCGGGGCUGUCCAUCAGUGUAAAAAAACUGGUGAAGAAAGGGCCGGGCAAGACCGGUUGCCAGCSSCCGCGGUAAUACCGGCGGCUCGAGUGGUGGCCGCUAUUAUUGGGCUUAAAGCGUCCGUAGCUGGGUUGUUAAGUCUCCUGGGAAAUCCACCGGCUCAACCGGUGGGCGUUCGGGAGAAACUGGCAACCUAGGGACCGGGAGAGGUGAGAGGUACUCCAGGGGUAGGAGUGAAAUCCUGUAAUCCUUGGGGGACCACCUGUGGCGAGGGCGUCUCACUAGAACGGCUCCGACAGUGAGGGACGAAAGCUGGGGGAGCAAACCGGAUUAGAUACCCGGGUAGUCCCAGCUGUAAACGAUGCGCGUUAGGUGUAUCGGUGACCACGAGUCACCGAGGUGCCGAAGGGAAACCGUGAAACGUGCCGCCUGGGAAGUACGGUCGCAAGGCUGAAACUUAAAGGAAUUGGCGGGAAGGGC